RNAcentral lists this long non-coding RNA (2517 nucleotides) under Sus scrofa (pig). RNAcentral's name for it is "lncRNA (ENSSSCG00045026287.1)". The record is from RNAcentral. Lineage: Eukaryota; Metazoa; Chordata; Mammalia; Artiodactyla; Suidae.
UAGUCGGGCUCACCACCACUGAGCCAUGAUGGGAUCUUCCAGCAAAGUCUUAACAUGACUUAGUGAUAGAAAGGAAAGCUCUCAGGAUAAUUUUCAAGAGAGUCUUCUAUUUGGAAAAAUGUCUGUCUUACUAAAAAUAUAACAAUGAAACCAUACCAAAUAUCAUAAUUUUGGAAGUAGAAUUUUGAUUAACUUGCUCAGAACGAAAUUUGUCAGAAAAGAGCUGUCAGCUGUGAUACAAUGGUGCUGAAAAUGUCUGUAGAGUCACAGAGAAAUUCACUCUCACAUUUUGCAGAAAAGUUGAUUAAUUCCUCGUGAAGAACAGAGAAACAAUGAUUCGCACUGCUGGCAACAACAAUGGCAUGAUGCAACACCCUGGCUACCGGCAGGUGUGGUCGGUAAUGGAUGGGACUGAAUUUGGAGCCAUCUCAAAGGUUUACUUUGGACCCCCUCUGAUGUUUCAAAGCUCUUGGUUUUGGCAAGCCUGUCAUUUGCCAGUUGUCAAAUAAGUUGAGUCAUUAGUCUGGCCUUGUCAUCUGGGAGCCUCCACAUGAUUGAUAUGGCUCUGCUACCCUUCCCAAUGGGAUAAUUAAGUGUCCACUAAGCCCUAUCUACCUGGUUUUAUAAAAGUAAAAGUAAAAUCCAGACAGAUAUGCCAUUCCUUUUUCUAUGUGUAAAAGCAGCAAGCUGGGAAAAUGCAUCUGAAGAAGCUAUUUGCUUUUAAUAUUCAGUCUCAAAAGGACAAAUUUCCUGUUGGCAAAAUCAAACCUUGCAAUUUUUUUUUCGGACUAACCAAAUAAUCUCCUCCAUUUGUCCAUUUUGCAGAGUGGUUUUGUAUACAUUUUUCUUUCUUCACAGCAAUCCCGUGAAAAGGACAAGCAUUAUUGUCCUCAUGUUACAGAUAAAUAUCCUGAAACUCAAAUCAUUUUAAGGUCAUAUUCAGUUCCUCUGACUAUUCUAAUCAUCUCCUGCCGUAUCAGGCUGUUAAACAUCCUGUUAUACAUAAAGGAUGUCAGAAUAUUGCAUCUUCCUCUGUGCUGUUCUCCCAUCUGGGGUUUAUUUCUAGAGUAUAUAGUUUUAGACAAACUUGUUUGCCAAAAUACUGGGAUCCUUUAGGGGAACCUCUUGGGAAGGGGGCUAAGCAAGUCUGGGUCAUCCCUUUCCAGAAUAGAGAACUUACUUCCGAGGCGGGGCAACAAACAGCGUAAAUUGCAGAGUAGGAUGGAAAGUGAUAACUCAAUCCCCAAAUUGAUGAGAAAUCUAUGAGGCGUUCUCUACUUGCCUACACAAAUGGUUCCUUUCAAAGGCAAGUUGCUUAUUGUCUCCAAUAUAAUGUGGCUUUUGGACAGUGUCCAGUCAGCAAAGUAGAAACUCAUAUUUGGCAAGGUGAACCCAGCCAUGGUUUCCUGGCGUGCUGAAUCAAUAGGAAAUGACUUUGGAAAAAUACAGCAACGACAGCAAUAAAUGGCUUUGAACUUUUUCAGCCAAACACUGUAUAAAGUGAACUGCCAAGAAUUUCCCCCUUGAUAUCCCUUUUUGGAUGAUAACAUAUGACUAUAAACUUUUGCCCUGUAUACACUCUGUGGCCUUCAUUCUUCAGACUUGCUUAAACCAACAUUCUUGCUAGAGCAGAAAGUUCAUUCCUCUAAGGACCUUUAGUUUUCUUCAUUCUUGCCCAGUCAGGUCCCAUAUUCCAAUGAUGUUGCCGCCAUCUUGGCUCCCAUUCCUGUCACUAUCUUUUCUCUAUACCUCUGUUUUUUUUUUUUUUUUUUUCCUGUUUUGAGUAUCAAGAUAAAUCUCAAAAAAAAAAAAAAAAGUUACCAUGUAAUUCCUCACUCAUAUGAGUUGCCUGGCUGUCGGGGAAAAUGAAUGGGUGGGGAUGGAAGGAGGACGAACGACUGAUUGAACAGACUUAGGAGCAGUGGGACUUGGGGUUGGGUCAUGGAGAACUGGCAGAGAGGAGCUGUGGAGGCUACAGCUUCAUUCUCUGGAAAUCAGUGGUGGAGCCUGAAGGGGUCAGUUUAUUGAUGGUGGUUUCCUUUUCUAUUUGCUUUAUCACUUUGGUUUUGAGGUGGUAAUAUUUUGAUUUUGCGACUAUUUUAUAAUGGAAAAACACUUUUAGAGUGAAGAAAACAAAACAAAACAAUUUGCAGUGAUGGCCUGGGGUUGAAUCUCACGUAUACAUAAACUACAAGCUUUCCUCUUGUUUCUUGGACACUUCUGGGCAAUUCUGGAGAAGACUUCUAAGGCAUAGACACAAUGGACUCUGUUCCAUUUUUGGAUUAUUAAGUUUUCAGAUAAAACUAAGUAGACUAUACCAAGCACUAGACACACUUUCUCCUCUUAUAUCCUCUUUCUACCAGAUCAAUGAAUAUGAGUAUUUUUUAAACAUAGUCUAGACCCAGCUAAAAACAAGGAGCAUGAAAAUGUCUUGCCAGUCAAGACCUACGCACAUUUCCUCAGUGUUGGUGAUGAUGAGUCUAUUUAUUGAGCACUUAAUAUCUGAUAAGCGUGAGG